UACGUAGGGGGCAAGCGUUAUCCGGAUUUACUGGGUGUAAAGGGAGCGUAGACGGCAGGGCAAGUCUGGAGUGAAAGGCAGGGGCUUAACCCCUGAACUGCUUUGGAAACUGCCAUGCUAGAGUGCUGGAGAGGUAAGUGGAAUUCCUAGUGUAGCGGUGAAAUGCGUAGAUAUUAGGAGGAACACCAGUGGCGAAGGCGGCUUACUGGACUGUAAAUGACGCUGAUGCGCGAAAGCGUGGGGAGCAAACAGG
RNAcentral lists this ribosomal RNA (253 nucleotides) under uncultured Lachnospiraceae bacterium. Its description in RNAcentral is "partial 16S ribosomal RNA". It matches the Rfam family "Bacterial small subunit ribosomal RNA", at positions 524 to 776 of the family's 1533-position model. The record is from RNAcentral. Lineage: Bacteria; Bacillati; Bacillota; Clostridia; Lachnospirales; Lachnospiraceae.